UAGGGAAUCUUCCACAAUGGGCGCAAGCCUGAUGGAGCAACGCCGCGUGUGUGAUGAAGGCUUUCGGGUCGUAAAGCACUGUUGUAUGGGAAGAAAUGCUAAAAUAGGGAAUGAUUUUAGUUUGACGGUACCAUACCAGAAAGGGACGGCUAAAUACGUGCCAGCAGCCGCGGUAAUACGUAUGUCCCGAGCGUUAUCCGGAUUUAUUGGGCGUAAAGCAAGCGCAGACGGUUGAUUAAGUCUGAUGUGAAAGCCCGGAGCUCAACUCCGGAAUGGCAUUGGAAACUGGUUAACUUGAGUGUUGUAGAGGUAAGUGGAACUCCAUAUGUAGCGGUGGAAUGCGUAGAUAUAUGGAAGAACACCAGUGGCGAAGGCGGCUUACUGGACAACAACUGACGUUGAGGCUCGAAAGUGUGGGUAGCAAACAGGAUUAGAUACCCUGGUAGUCCACACCGUAAACGAUGAAUACUAGGUGUUAGGAGGUUUCCGCCUCUUAGUGCCGAAGCUAACGCAUUAAGUAUUCCGCCUGGGGAGUACGACCGCAAGGUUG
This 550-nucleotide ribosomal RNA is filed under the name uncultured bacterium. RNAcentral describes it as "bacterial SSU rRNA". It matches the Rfam family "Bacterial small subunit ribosomal RNA", at positions 355 to 896 of the family's 1533-position model. The record is from RNAcentral.